Molecule: long non-coding RNA, 1015 nt
Organism: Astatotilapia calliptera (eastern happy)
Lineage: Eukaryota; Metazoa; Chordata; Actinopteri; Cichliformes; Cichlidae
Source: Ensembl
GAAGGUAUCAUUCUUCGUGGUUACUGCAUAUGAAUAUCUCUCUGAAAUGAGCCAUUAAUAAAGCCAUAAUAAGCAGGUCUUUAUCACAUUUCAUUUACAUGUAGCCUUGGUUUAGUCGACCUAAAAUAACUCCUCAGAGGUUAACAGAUGACAGCCAGGAUGCAAGUUUCUUUAAAAGGAUCUAGCUUCUGCCUGCUGGCUACACAUUUAAAUUCAGACAUGACUUCAGGUGGAACAAAGAUGAAACUGAUAUAACUUUUGUUGUGUGUGACGUAAAGGUCAAGUGUUCAACCUACCAGAAGCCUCCUUUUUUUUUAAGCGCUUUUUUUUUGUCUUCGUCAGCCAAGAACUUUUGACACUGUUGAUGUCUGUGCUCUCCUGGGUUGAAGGCUGCCUCCACAGAUCCUCACAGCUGCCCUGGUAUUUAAAAAGUUAUAUGGAUUUUUUUUCUUUCUUCCUGAACCACAGUCAGUCAUCUUUCUUCUCCUGCCAGAUGAUCUUUCCUUUCCCUUUCUCACUUGCCUGACUUCCCUUUCCUUUUUUUUUCAACACUUCACUCUUAUUCGUAGGGAAAUAUUUUGAGUUGGGAUUUACUCAGUUGAAGUAAGAUGUUUUUCAUUCUUUACCUCAAUCAGUAGUGGCUUUAAUCUUCUUGGUUACUCCACUACUUUUGUCAUUCUUUAUGUGGGUAACCUGUAAAAUCCAUAAAACAAUCAACCACAAAAACACCCGAGGUGAGUCUUUAUUUUGACUAAUUUCUGCUUACCCUGUAAAGAUUCUCACAUCUACUUCAGUUUUGCAAUAAAUGUCGCAUGAUUAUAUCCACGACUGCCCAGGGCUGUCCAUUCGAAUAAUCACCAUUACAAUAGAAACAGCUUACACACUGAUAGCUUAAAGAUCAUUACACCACCAUUAGGCCAUUAAUCUUAAUGGUUGUAAUUCUGUGGGUACUUUGAUGAUAUCUUUGGUGUUACUGUGUCACAGACAGAAAGAUUUGCUUCACUCGCCUUUCAAA